RNAcentral lists this unclassified non-coding RNA (292 nucleotides) under Agaricales sp. Its description in RNAcentral is "partial contains 5.8S ribosomal RNA, internal transcribed spacer 2, and large subunit ribosomal RNA". The stretch from base 1 to 52 matches the Rfam family "5.8S ribosomal RNA", at positions 103 to 154 of the family's 154-position model. The record is from RNAcentral. RNAcentral also lists the same sequence under 4 other names. Lineage: Eukaryota; Fungi; Basidiomycota; Agaricomycetes; Agaricales.
AACGCACCUUGCGCUCCUUGGUAUUCCGAGGAGCAUGCCUGUUUGAGUGUCAUUAAAUUCUCAACUCCAAGGGUUUCACGACCUUUCGGAGAUUGGACUUGGAGGUGCUGGCCGCAUAUUGGUCGGCUCCUCUCAAAUGCAUCAGCGGAAUUCAACCUUUGGCUUCCGGAUGUCAGUGUGAUAAUCAUGUUGCGCUGUCGUUUGAUCCCUCAGAGUCCGCUUAUAAUGGUCUUCGGACAAAAUCAUCAUCAAAUUUGACCUCAAAUCAGGUAGGACUACCCGCUGAACUUAA